This 387-nucleotide ribosomal RNA is filed under the name uncultured bolidophyte. Its description in RNAcentral is "SSU rRNA". It matches the Rfam family "Eukaryotic small subunit ribosomal RNA", at positions 587 to 975 of the family's 1831-position model. Lineage: Eukaryota; Bolidophyceae. The record is from RNAcentral.
AGCUCCAAUAGCGUAUAUUAAAGUUGUUGCAGUUAAAAAGCUCGUAGUUGGAUUUCUGAUGGGAGUGGCUGGUCCGCCCUUAUGGGGUGUGAACUGUGCUUACUCUCGUCAUCCUUGGGGAAAGCCUUCCUGGCAUUAAGUUGUCGGGUUGGGGAUCCUCAUCGUUUACUGUGAAAAAAUUAGAGUGUUCAAAGCAGGCUUACGCCGUUGAAUACAUUAGCAUGGAAUAAUAAGAUAGGACUUUAGUACUAUUUUGUUGGUUUGCGUACCAAAGUAAUGAUUAAUAGGGACAGUUGGGGGUAUUCGUAUUCAAUUGUCAGAGGUGAAAUUCUUGGAUUUAUGGAAGACGAACUACUGCGAAAGCAUUUACCAAGGAUGUUUUCAUUA